RNAcentral lists this long non-coding RNA (255 nucleotides) under Trifolium pratense (red clover). RNAcentral describes it as "long non-coding RNA (TPRA_LNC003324)". The record is from RNAcentral. Lineage: Eukaryota; Viridiplantae; Streptophyta; Magnoliopsida; Fabales; Fabaceae.
CACAACAAAAUUACUAGUAGCUAAUAACGCACAAGAAAAUUGACAUAAUUCCGAAUAUUAUUUUCCACAAGUCAUUGUCAAUUCCUAACAAGCUAACAAGUUACAUGCAACACAUUAAAAGUUAGUGCUUAACAUUAUCACUAAUUAAUUCCAAGUCUAAUGACUAAGAAACUAAAUUCAAAAUCAUCUAAAGCCACAAAGCACCAGCAUCUUUGAAGAGAGGGAACAAGCAGAGAGCCCAUUAAUACCACCUCC